UAUUAGAGGCAUUGCCUGCCCAGUGACUAAAGUUAAACGGCCGCGGUAUCCUGACCGUGCAAAGGUAGCAUAAUCACUUGUUCCUUAAUUAGGGACUAGAAUGAAUGGCUAAACGAGGGUUCAACUGUCUCUUACUUUCAAUCAGUGAAAUUGACCUUCCAGUGAAGAGGCUGGAAUACUACAAUAAGACGAGAAGACCCUAUGGAGCUUUAAUUUACUAGUUUAAUUUAUAUAAUAACAACCUAAUGGACCAAAACAAAAUAAAUAUAAACUAAAAAUUUCGGUUGGGGUGACCUCGGAGAAUAAAAAAUCCUCCGAAUGAUUUUAACCUAGACCCACAAGUCAAAGUAAUAUUAAUAUCUUAUUGACCCAAUUAUUGAUCAACGGACCAAGUUACCCUAGGGAUAACAGCGCAAUCCUAUUUAAGAGUUCAUAUCGACAAUUAGGGUUUACGACCUCGAUGUUGGAUCAGGACAUCCCAAUGGUGCAGAAGCUAUUAAUGGUUCGUUUGUUCAACGAUUAAAGUCCUACGUGAUCUGAGU
This 542-nucleotide ribosomal RNA is filed under the name Rattus rattus rufescens. RNAcentral describes it as "partial 16S ribosomal RNA". It matches the Rfam family "Bacterial large subunit ribosomal RNA", at positions 1844 to 2610 of the family's 2925-position model. Lineage: Eukaryota; Metazoa; Chordata; Mammalia; Rodentia; Muridae. The record is from RNAcentral.